RNAcentral lists this ribosomal RNA (610 nucleotides) under uncultured bacterium. Its description in RNAcentral is "bacterial SSU rRNA". It matches the Rfam family "Bacterial small subunit ribosomal RNA", at positions 887 to 1501 of the family's 1533-position model. The record is from RNAcentral.
CGCAAGGUUGAAACUCAAAGGAAUUGACGGGGACCCGCACAAGCGGUGGAUGAUGUGGUUUAAUUCGAUGCAACGCGAAAAACCUUACCUACCCUUGACAUGUCAGGAAUCUUGCAGAGAUGUGAGAGUGCUCGAAAGAGAGCUUGAACACAGGUGCUGCAUGGCCGUCGUCAGCUCGUGUCGUGAGAUGUUGGGUUAAGUCCCGCAACGAGCGCAACCCUUGUCAUUAGUUGCUACGAAAGGGCACUCUAAUGAGACUGCCGGUGACAAACCGGAGGAAGGUGGGGAUGACGUCAGGUCCUCAUGGCCCUUAUGGGUAGGGCUACACACGUCAUACAAUGGCCGGUACAGAGGGCUGCCAACCCGCGAGGGGGAGCCAAUCCCAGAAAACCGGUCGUAGUCCGGAUCGCAGUCUGCAACUCGACUGCGUGAAGUCGGAAUCGCUAGUAAUCGCGGAUCAGCUUGCCGCGGUGAAUACGUUCCCGGGUCUUGUACACACCGCCCGUCACACCAUGGGAGCGGGUUCUGCCAGAAGUAGUUAGCCUAACCGCAAGGAGGGCGAUUACCACGGCAGGGUUCGUGACUGGGGUGAAGUCGUAACAAGGUAGCC